This 252-nucleotide ribosomal RNA is filed under the name uncultured Odoribacter sp. RNAcentral describes it as "partial 16S ribosomal RNA". It matches the Rfam family "Bacterial small subunit ribosomal RNA", at positions 524 to 776 of the family's 1533-position model. The record is from RNAcentral. Lineage: Bacteria; Pseudomonadati; Bacteroidota; Bacteroidia; Bacteroidales; Odoribacteraceae.
UACGGAGGAUGCGAGCGUUAUCCGGAUUUAUUGGGUUUAAAGGGUGCGUAGGCGGCAUUAUAAGUUAGUGGUAAAAUAUUGGGGCUUCACCUCACUACGCCAUUAAUACUGUAGAGCUAGAGAACAGACGAGGUAGGCGGAAUGAGUAGUGUAGCGGUGAAAUGCUUAGAUAUUACUCAGAACACCGAUUGCGCAGGCAGCUUGCUAAUCCGCAUCUGACGCUGAUGCACGAAAGCGUGGGUAGCGAACAGG